UCCAGCAGCCAUAUUACCCUGCAACUCACAACUGGCAACCCACCGAAAGCUAAGCAGGUGUGAGCCAGGUCAGUACUUGGAUGAGAGAUCUCCUGGGAAAAACUAAGGUUGCUGCUGGUA
RNAcentral lists this ribosomal RNA (120 nucleotides) under Lepisosteus oculatus (spotted gar). The record is from RNAcentral. Lineage: Eukaryota; Metazoa; Chordata; Actinopteri; Semionotiformes; Lepisosteidae.